AACGAACGCUGGCGGCAGGCCUAACACAUGCAAGUCGAGCGAACCCUUCGGGGUUAGCGGCGGACGGGUUAGUAACGCGUGGGAAUAUACCCUUUGGUACGGAAUAGGCCUCGGGAAACUGAGAGUAAUACCGUAUGUGCCCUUCGGGGAAAGAUUAUCGCCAAAGGAUUAGCCCGCGUUGGAUUAGAUAGUUGGUGGGGUAAUGGCCUACCAAGUCUACGAUCCAUAGCUGGUUUGAGAGGAUGAUCAGCAACACUGGGACGUGAGACACGGCCCAGACUCCUACGGGAGGCAGCAGUGGGGAAUCUUAGACAAUGGGCGCAAGCCUGAUCUAGCCAUGCCGCGUGGACGAUGAAGGCCUUAGGGUUGUAAAGUCCUUUC
This 381-nucleotide ribosomal RNA is filed under the name uncultured bacterium. RNAcentral describes it as "bacterial SSU rRNA". It matches the Rfam family "Bacterial small subunit ribosomal RNA", at positions 29 to 437 of the family's 1533-position model. The record is from RNAcentral.